GUCCCGCAACGAGCGCAACCCUCGGCAUUAGUUGCUAACAGGUAAUGCUGAGCACUCUAAUGCGACCGCCGGGGAUAACCUGGAGGAAGGUGGGGAUGACGUCAAGUCAUCAUGGCCCUUAUGUCCAGGGCUACACACGUGCUACAAUGGGAUGUACAAUGGGUUGCAAUACCGCGAGGUGGAGCUAAUCCCCUAAAGCAUCCCACAGUUCGGAUUGCUCUCUGCAACUCGAGAGCAUGAAGCUGGAACCGCUAGUAAUCACCGGUCAGCUAUACGGUGGUGAAUACGUUCCCGGGCCUU
RNAcentral lists this ribosomal RNA (300 nucleotides) under uncultured bacterium. Its description in RNAcentral is "bacterial SSU rRNA". It matches the Rfam family "Bacterial small subunit ribosomal RNA", at positions 1084 to 1382 of the family's 1533-position model. The record is from RNAcentral.